CCUACGGGAGGCUGCAGUGGGGGCUAUUGCACAAUGGGGGAAACCCUGAUGCAGCGACGCCGCGUGUGGGAAGGCGGUCCUCUGGAUUGUAAACCACUGUCCCCAGGGACGACGAUGCCGGUACCUGGGGAGGAAGCUCCGGCUAACUACGUGCCAGCAGCCGCGGUAAUACGUAGGGAGCGAGCGGUGUCCGGAAGUACUGGGUGUAAAGGGAGCGUAGGCGGGACUGCAAGUUGGUUGUCAAAUUUACCGGCUCAACCGUUAGCCGAACUUAAAACUGCAGUUCUUGAGUGAAGUAGCGGCAGGCGGAAUUCCUAGUGUAGCGGUGAAAUGCGUAGAUAUUAGGAGGAACACCAGUGGCGAAGGCGACCUGCUGGGCUUUGACUGACGCGGAGGCUCGAAAGUGUGGGGAGCAAACAGGAUUAGAUACCCCAGUAGUC
Molecule: ribosomal RNA, 440 nt
Filed under: uncultured bacterium
Lineage: Bacteria
Description: partial 16S ribosomal RNA
Rfam family: Bacterial small subunit ribosomal RNA
Source: RNAcentral